ACAACAUUUGGACUGUCGGUCUACCCAGCAAUUUCACCCGCUCGGUGCAAGAUCUUACCUUUGUUGU
Molecule: microRNA precursor, 67 nt
Filed under: Bombyx mori (domestic silkworm)
Lineage: Eukaryota; Metazoa; Arthropoda; Insecta; Lepidoptera; Bombycidae
Description: mir-2774 microRNA precursor family
Rfam family: mir-2774 microRNA precursor family
Source: Rfam by way of RNAcentral